CCCGGACACCAUGAUAAAUAUUUUCAAGGGGUGGGAGCAAAGACUCGAACCCGGUCCUCAGAGUGAAAAGCCGAAGCGUUUCCACGUUUAACAAUUUUCCGACGUUUUAACAAUUUUGAAAAAGAGCGUAUAGAGCCGUUUUUCUAUUUAAUUCUGAAGUAAACGAAUUUUAUUAUUCUAAGAAGAGAGCCGUUUAUACAGUAGACCAUAUGUGCUUCAGUAUGUUGACCAGUAGGAAGACAAAGAGAUGGCCUCUUUACGAUAUGUUACUUCGCCUCAUUUCGAUAUGCUAGACUUGACAAUUAUAAAUGUAUAUGUUAUUUACGUUUGCAAUAAUACUUGGAAUAAGAAAAAAACGAAUUUAUUAAGGCGGGAUUUUAUUUUGAAAAUGGCAGAUCUUAUGCACGCAUAUUUGCUUAAAAGAGUCAACACUCCCUGUUUAAGAUACAAUAUCAGAGAAUCUAUAAGAGAAAUUCUACAAAUUCAACUUCAGGCUAGUACCUCAGAAAAAGUUUGU
This 517-nucleotide long non-coding RNA is filed under the name Androctonus crassicauda. Lineage: Eukaryota; Metazoa; Arthropoda; Arachnida; Scorpiones; Buthidae. The record is from RNAcentral.